Molecule: transfer RNA, 51 nt
Filed under: Cylicostephanus minutus
Lineage: Eukaryota; Metazoa; Nematoda; Chromadorea; Rhabditida; Strongylidae
Description: tRNA-Asp
Source: RNAcentral
UAAUUUAGUAUAAACUAUUGUCAAUAGUUAGGUUUAAACUUUAUAAAUUAA